GAUGAACGCUGGCGACGUGCCUAAUACAUGCAAGUCGAGCGAACGGACGAGAAGCUUGCUUCUCUGAUGUUAGCGGCGGACGGGUGAGUAACACGUGGAUAACCUACCUAUAAGACUGGGAUAACUUCGGGAAACCGGAGCUAAUACCGGAUAAUAUUUUGAACCGCAUGGUUCAAAAGUGAAAGACGGUCUUGCUGUCACUUAUAGAUGGAUCCGCGCUGCAUUAGCUAGUUGGUAAGGUAACGGCUUACCAAGGCAACGAUGCAUAGCCGACCUGAGAGGGUGAUCGGCCACACGGGAACUGAGAAACGGUCCAGACUCCUACGGGAGGCAGCAGUAGGGAAUCUUCCGCAAUGGGCGAAAGCCGGACGGAGCAACGCCGCGUGAGUGAGGAAGGUCUUCGGAUCGUAAAACUCUGUUAUUAGGGAAGAACAUAUGUGUAAGUAACUGUGCACAUCUUGACGGUACCUAAUCAGAAAGCCACGGCUAACUACGUG
Molecule: ribosomal RNA, 497 nt
Filed under: uncultured bacterium
Lineage: Bacteria
Description: partial 16S ribosomal RNA
Rfam family: Bacterial small subunit ribosomal RNA
Source: RNAcentral